AACGAACGCUGGCGGCAGGCUUAACACAUGCAAGUCGAACGCCCUCUUCGGAGGGAGUGGCAGACGGGUGAGUAACGCGUGGGAACCUACCCAGUAGUACGGAAUAACUCAGGGAAACUUGUGCUAAUACCGUAUACGCCUACGGGGGAAAGAUUUAUCGCUAUUGGAUGGGCCCGCGUUGGAUUAGUUUGUUGGUGAGGUAACGGCUCACCAAGGCUACGAUCCAUAGCUGGUCUGAGAGGAUGAUCAGCCACACUGGGACUGAGACACGGCCCAGACUCCUACGGGAGGCAGCAGGUGGGGAAUAUUGCACAAGUGGGCGCAAGCCUGAUGCAGCCAUGCCGCGUGAGUGAUGAAGGCCUUAGGGUUGUAAAGCUCUUUCACCGGUGAAGAUAAUGACGGUAACCGGAGAAGAAGCCCGGCUAACUUCGUG
RNAcentral lists this ribosomal RNA (433 nucleotides) under uncultured bacterium. RNAcentral's name for it is "bacterial SSU rRNA". It matches the Rfam family "Bacterial small subunit ribosomal RNA", at positions 29 to 507 of the family's 1533-position model. The record is from RNAcentral.